UUCUUUUUGUAUUGUCUCAAAUUGCACGUUUUUCUUACAGAUUUUUCAUUUUUAAAGGUUGAUCUGAAUUUAAAAGUCCAAAAGUCGGCAUCUUCAAACAUGACUUCUGUACUAGAAAAUAUGAUAGAAAUCGCAGCCCUGGGGAGGCCAUUUCAGCUGGGAAUGUUAUACGACUGUAGAAAUGAUGCAAUAGUCCCAGGAAUGAUGCUUUGGGAUCGAGAGCGGCUGCAGCUUAACAAAUAUGUUAGUUCACAACAUAACACAGAGUUCACAGUUACAACUUCAGACACAAUUGAUGAAAAAUCAAAGCAACUGAAAGUUGAUGGUGAAAUGAAACUGAGUCUUUUGGGAGGAAAUGUCAUGCUUAGUGGUGCAGCCAGAUAUUUCAAUGACACUAAAAAGUCAUUUACACAAGAACGCUUGACGCUGCAUUACAGAACAACCACCAGGUUUGAGCAGUUAAUAAUGAACCAUCUGGCACAAAAAAAAAUCGGCCACCAUGAUGUAGUUGAUUAUAAUAUAGCAACCCAUGUGGUUUUAGCAGUUGUCUAUGGAGCGGAUGCCUACUUUGUAUUUGAUAAAGAGGUGAAUUCGUCUGUUAAGACAAGAAAAGUAAAGGGAGGAGUUAACAUUGCCACUGAGAAGCUGAAGAUCCUUUGCUCCGCUGGGGCACAGGUAGACUUCAAAAUGAAUGAAAAUGAGAAGGCUGAAAUGAAACAACUGAAUUGUACAUUUUAUGGUGAUUUCAAGUUGCCUUCUAAUCCAACAACUUUUGAAGAUGCUGUGAAGGUUUACAAAGAUCUUCCAAAGAUGCUUGGAGAAAAUGGAGAACAUGCAGUUCCAGUUAAAGUGUGGCUUUAUCCUCUGGUUAAACUGGACUCAAGAGCAGCCAAACUUCAAAGACACAUCUCUACACAUCUCAUUAGAGCUGUGGAAUCAGUGAUUGAGAAUUGAAAUGAAACAUCAAUGAAAUGUGGUGACCUGAUGGAAGACACAGUGGCAAAAGCAUUCGACACAUUUCAUGAUCGAGUUCAGGACUUUCAGAAAUUCUACACUGAGUACAAGCAAGAUUUCAUGAAGGGUCCAUAGGGUCCAUCCUGCCAGAAAUCCAUGGAGGUAAAGCAGAUAUAAAAGACCUAAGUGAACUUCUAGAAGCCCAUAAGAAAUCACCUUUUAAUAGCCAUGAUCUUCAGCAGUGGAUAACAGUGAAAGAAAAAGAAUCCAACCAAAUAAAAGCACUGCUAAUACAGCUGCAGGAACUUGGAGCAGAGGUCCAUGCUGACAGAGACAAAUAUCUAUUAGACUUGAAAGUGGAGAAUUUGGUUUCUUACACUUUUACCUGUCUUCAUCACCCAGAGCCUCUCCUGACCAAACAAGAGAUCUACCUGAACCCUUCAAAAACAAACGAUCCCAGUGAAAAUACACUUGGUGAAGAUUUUCAGGAAAAAUCAUGGACCUCUGAGGAGCUCAUGUGCAUGAGGAAAAAUUUGAAAAUCUUUAAGGAUUUGAUCACUUUAAAUAAAAAUAACAAAAACAUGAAGUUUAUUGUAGAGAGUGUGCCUCAAACACCAGAUAAACCCUGUUCCUGUAUCCUUAUGUAUGAGAAUGGAUGCAGUGAAGCUACCUGUUUUGUUCCUCCAUCAAAGCCGGCAUGUCCAGUCACUGAAUGUGUCACAGAUAACAGCAUAACAGUACAGCUGAGGUCUUCAUGUGCUGCUACACUGAAGAGGCAACUACUUUACAAAAUGAAACAAGAGAUUGACUGGAAAUCUCAGACUGUCACUGAAGAUAGAGUUACACUGACAAAUCUUAAAGAAGGCACUGAUUAUGAAAUAAAAUGUGCAGCAGUAGGAACAAUGGACUACAUGGUUGAAAGUGAUGUAACACAGUCUGUGGUAAAAAGCAAGACGGAGCUGGAGGCAGCUACAAGUGAAUCGACCCAGCAGGUGAUUGAAAGAACAAGUAAAGUUACACACCCCCACUCAUUUGCUACAGGUGUACAGGUACAGAGGACACCCUCGUGCACUGAAGGUAAAUUUAAUUCAAUUCAGUUUUAUUUGAAUAGUGCUUUUAACAAUGGACAUUGAUUUUAUUUAUUUAGGAUGGAGUACAGGUGCCAGGUUACAUCUGCUACUUAAAUUCAUUCUUUCACAUUUCUGUUGAUUAACAUAUUUAGCUCAUGACCACACAGGUGACCAGAUGCAGACGCAGCCUCUUCUAAAAUAUUUUACUGUUCCACUUGGAAGCACAUUAGGACCUCUUGUGGGUAUAAAACAGAAAUUUCAGGAACUAAUACGAGGUCUGCAGAAUGUGCAGAAGCCAGAGGACUGUGAUUUCAUUAUGGCUUUCUGCCCUGAUGUUAUUAUUGAAACAGCAGAGAAGAUGGUUAACAGCUUAACAGGUAACAAACCUGCAGUUGUGGUGGUGCUUCAUCACUCAUUUGAUCCGGAGCAUAUUGUACCAGACAGCAGCAGAUCAGUAAAGAGACAGAAUACAAUCACAGUCGACUGUCUGUUCAAUGAAGAGCUGGGAUUACUGGAAUGUAGUAAAAUGAAGCACUGUCCAAAUUAACAAACUGGCUGCAUCCUGAGGGUAUUUCAAACAAGCCACAGAGUCAACAUCAAAAAGAAUCUCAGAAAUAUAACCAGGAUGUUCAUCAAGUAGGAAACCAAGCUCAAGGUGAAAGGGAACACAAAGAGUGUUGUAAGGACCAAGGCCUGACAAAUCAAAAAAAGGAAAAUACAGAGCAAAAUGAAGACACUGUGCAGAAACAGUUGGAGAAAAACAAUGGGCAAGAAGAAAAGAAAAGCGGACUAACAGAAAAUGGUGUAAAAAACGAGGACGAUAACACAAAUCCAGUACACAAUGAAUGUCAAGGUGAGAAGAAUGACAAGCCGGAAGAACAAAAUACAGCAGUGGAUGGGAUGAUGGCACAGUCUGAAAAGGAGAAAAGUCAGGAGGAGGAAAAGCAAGGUCACAGUAAAAGUGAAGAACAGUCUUGUAAGGAGCCAUGCCCACAGAAUGAAAAAAGAGAAGAGCAUGAUGAAGACAUGGAGGGGAAACAAAGGGAGAAAGGCCAAGAGAAAGAGCAAUAUACUGGAGAACGUGGAGGAAAAAAAAGUGAAGUAACAAUCGAUAAUUUAGAAGACACAGUGGUGAACAUAGAACAGGUACAGAAGAAUGAAAAUCAAGGUGAAAAGAACAAUAAACCAGAAGAAAACAAUAUACAAGCAGAUGAGGCCACAGCAGUGUGUGAAAAGGAGAAAAGCCAGGUCGAUGAGAAAGCCAUAGAACCAAGGGAUCAGAGCAGCAAAGUAACCAUAAACAAUGUUAAGGAA
This is an RNA transcript of Hemibagrus wyckioides, 3338 nucleotides long. It is a transcript of the gene named cilia- and flagella-associated protein 251-like, with no coding region annotated. The transcript has 7 exons. NCBI's taxonomy places the organism in Eukaryota, Metazoa, Chordata, Actinopteri, Siluriformes, Bagridae. The record is from RefSeq and is a predicted model, not a curated record.